GGUAUCUUAAGCACACAUGUAAAUUAAGAAUUAAAGAUUUAUCGGUGUACGAUGGGGAUGCGUUCCAUUAGGUAGUAGGCGGGGUAACGGCCCACCAAGGCGACGAUCAGUAGGGGUUCUGAGAGGAAGGCCCCCCACAUUGGAACUGAGACACGGUCCAAACUCCUACGGGAGGCAGCAGUGAGGAAUAUUGGUCAAUGGACGAGAGUCUGAACCAGCCAAGUAGCGUGCAGGAUGAUGGCCCUAUGGGUUGUAAACUGCUUUUAUAAGGGAAUAAAGUGAGUCUCGUGAGACUUUUUGCAUGUACCUUAUGAAUAAGGACCGGCUAAUUCCGUG
Molecule: ribosomal RNA, 336 nt
Filed under: uncultured bacterium
Lineage: Bacteria
Description: bacterial SSU rRNA
Rfam family: Bacterial small subunit ribosomal RNA
Source: RNAcentral